UGCUGGAUCCAAUGUCUCUGGCACUGUGCUCCUGCACCCAGCGGGACCCGGCAUCGAUACUGUUGGGGAUUCUGGCACAGAGGGAAGAUUUGCACUCCCACCCCUUGCACAAGUAAAUAACUGGAGCAAGGCUGGGGAGGGUGUCUGCCUCUGACGCCCUGCCUCCUGCCACCUGAUCUUGCAGCCAUCCAGCCCUUCCCUCCCUUCCCAGCCAGCAGCAGGGAGAGCCAGCAAGCCCCAGCUGGAAAGGGAACAGCGUGGCCGAGACAGAGUUCAUCCCUUACAGAGGAGCUGCUCAAGGCAGAGGGCAGCUGGAGCUGCCUGCCUCCUGCCAGCCUCCCACGAGGGGCAGGGAGCCUCCCACGAGUGGGAAAAGCUUCACCUUUCCUUGGCUACACCUACAGCACCACUGGAUGUCACUGUUGAUUCAUAAAAGACAAAAAUCUUACUGUAAUCUUUUUGACAGAUAAUGUUUAGUACAUAAAUAUAUACAUGUAUUUAUAGUCUCUUUCCCACAAUUUCCUGCAAAAGGACUGAAAUUACAGAAAGUCUGUGCAGCCUCGUGGCUCUCACAUUUUUGAUGACUAUUUUUAUAGAGACUGCGUUUAUGGGUCCUUUUGUGGCACUCCAAGAGGCAUCUCUUCCAUAAAAGAUUGCUUUCUGCUCUGGUAGACGUAGAGUGGGGCAGAGCUGCCACAAUAUAUUUCAGUUGUUUUGGGGUUUCUUUU
Zonotrichia albicollis (white-throated sparrow) is the source of this 728-nucleotide non-coding RNA. Lineage: Eukaryota; Metazoa; Chordata; Aves; Passeriformes; Passerellidae. The record is from RefSeq and is a predicted model, not a curated record.